CCUACGGGCGGCAGCAGUGGGGAAUAUUGGACAAUGGGCGAAAGCCUGAUCCAGCCAUGCCGCGUGUGUGAAGAAGGCCUUCGGGUUGUAAAGCACUUUCAGUGGGGAAGAAAGCCUUGCGGCUAAUACCCUCGAGGAAGGACAUCACCCACAGAAGAAGCACCGGCUAACUCCGUGCCAGCAGCCGCGGUAAUACGGAGGGUGCGAGCGUUAAUCGGAAUUACUGGGCGUAAAGCGCGCGUAGGCGGUCUGAUAAGCCGGUUGUGAAAGCCCCGGGCUCAACCUGGGAACGGCAUCCGGAACUGUCAGGCUAGAGUGCAGGAGAGGAAGGUAGAAUUCCCGGUGUAGCAGUGAAAUGCGUAGAGAUCGGGAGGAAUACCAGUGGCGAAGGCGGCCUUCUGGACUGACACUGACGCUGAGGUGCGAAAGCGUGGGUAGCGAACAGGAUUAGAUACCCCGGUAGUC
RNAcentral lists this ribosomal RNA (465 nucleotides) under Vreelandella stevensii. RNAcentral's name for it is "partial 16S ribosomal RNA". It matches the Rfam family "Bacterial small subunit ribosomal RNA", at positions 338 to 795 of the family's 1533-position model. Lineage: Bacteria; Pseudomonadati; Pseudomonadota; Gammaproteobacteria; Oceanospirillales; Halomonadaceae. The record is from RNAcentral.